RNAcentral lists this ribosomal RNA (699 nucleotides) under uncultured bacterium. RNAcentral describes it as "bacterial SSU rRNA". It matches the Rfam family "Bacterial small subunit ribosomal RNA", at positions 181 to 883 of the family's 1533-position model. The record is from RNAcentral.
UUCUUCCGCAUGGUAGAACUAUUAAAGAAUUUCGGUCAUCGAUGGGGAUGCGUUCCAUUAGGUUGUUGGCGGGGUAACGGCCCACCAAGCCUUCGAUGGAUAGGGGUUCUGAGAGGAAGGUCCCCCACAUUGGAACUGAGACACGGUCCAAACUCCUACGGGAGGCAGCAGUGAGGAAUAUUGGUCAAUGGACGAGAGUCUGAACCAGCCAAGUAGCGUGAAGGAUGACUGCCCUAUGGGUUGUAAACUUCUUUUAUACGGGAAUAAAGUGAGGCACGUGUGCCUUUUUGUAUGUACCGUAUGAAUAAGGAUCGGCUAACUCCGUGCCAGCAGCCGCGGUAAUACGGAGGAUCCGAGCGUUAUCCGGAUUUAUUGGGUUUAAAGGGAGCGUAGGCGGACGCUUAAGUCAGUUGUGAAAGUUUGCGGCUCAACCGUAAAAUUGCAGUUGAUACUGGGUGUCUUGAGUACAGUAGAGGCAGGCGGAAUUCGUGGUGUAGCGGUGAAAUGCUUAGAUAUCACGAAGAACUCCGAUUGCGAAGGCAGCCUGCUGGACUGUAACUGACGCUGAUGCUCGAAAGUGUGGGUAUCAAACAGGAUUAGAUACCCUGGUAGUCCACACAGUAAACGAUGAAUACUCGCUGUUUGCGAUAUACAGUAAGCGGCCAAGCGAAAGCGUUAAGUAUUCCACCUGGGGAGUAC